UACGUAGGUGGCAAGCGUUGUCCGGAUUUACUGGGCGUAAAGCGCGUGCAGGCGGUCUGACAAGUCUGAUGUGAAAUCUCCGGGCUUAACCGGGAGAGGCCAUUGGAAACUGACAGGCUGGAGGGCAGUAGAGGUAGGCGGAAUUCCGGGUGGAGUGGUGAAAUGCGUAGAGAUCCGGAGGAACACCAGAGGCGAAGGCGGCCUACUGGGCUGCACCUGACGCUGAGCCGCGAAAGCCAGGGGAGCGAACGGG
RNAcentral lists this ribosomal RNA (253 nucleotides) under uncultured bacterium. RNAcentral describes it as "partial 16S ribosomal RNA". It matches the Rfam family "Bacterial small subunit ribosomal RNA", at positions 524 to 776 of the family's 1533-position model. The record is from RNAcentral.